AAGUCGUAACAAGGUUUCCGUAGGUGAACCUGCGGAAGGAUCAUUACCAUAUCCAAAAACUUUACCAACCCACCGUGUGAACUGUUUUUUUUUCCGGAGGACGGCGGAUGCGAGGGGUGUUAUAUAAUUUUUUAUUGUAAUACCUGUUCAUGUUCGGUUGUUGUCGGAAAGAAAUUUUAAUUAUUUUCUCCUUGCCCUUUUCGGGGAAGGAGAAGAUAAUGUUGCUAAACCCCUUUGUUAAACCGACCAUUGAAAACCUGAUUCUUUUUUUCUUGGAGCAAUUCGAGGAAAAAACCAAAAAACAAACCAAUAGACAACUUACAACGGUGGAUCUCUUGGCUCGU
Molecule: unclassified non-coding RNA, 344 nt
Filed under: fungal sp.
Lineage: Eukaryota; Fungi
Description: partial internal transcribed spacer region
Rfam family: Eukaryotic small subunit ribosomal RNA (bases 1-46)
Source: RNAcentral